This 253-nucleotide ribosomal RNA is filed under the name uncultured bacterium. RNAcentral describes it as "partial 16S ribosomal RNA". It matches the Rfam family "Bacterial small subunit ribosomal RNA", at positions 524 to 776 of the family's 1533-position model. The record is from RNAcentral.
GACGAGGGGUCCUAGCGUUGUUCGGAAUUAUUGGGCGUAAAGCGGACGUAGGCGGCCUAUUUAGUCAGACGUGAAAGCCCUGGGCUCAACCCAGGAAGUGCGUUUGAUACUGGUGGGCUUGAGUAUGGGAGAGGAUAGUGGAAUUCCUGGUGUAGUGGUGAAAUACGUAGAUAUCAGGAGGAACACCGGUGGCGAAGGCGGCUAUCUGGCCCAAUACUGACGCUCAGGUCCGAAAGCGUGGGUAGCAAACAGG